AAUAAAUGUAAACACAUGAAUAGAAAGUAAAUCAAGAGUAUGGACAGUCAUAGGAUUGCACACAAUAAGCGAUACAUUAUUUUUUCUUUGAUACAUGUAAAUGAUAUACUAGUUAACUAUAUAGUCAAAAUGAACCAGAAUGACUCUAUGAAUUAAGCAAACAUCCGAAAAAAUAUAAUACAAACAUUAAAAUUUAAUAUAACAACAC
Molecule: long non-coding RNA, 208 nt
Filed under: Mytilus galloprovincialis (Mediterranean mussel)
Lineage: Eukaryota; Metazoa; Mollusca; Bivalvia; Mytilida; Mytilidae
Source: RNAcentral